CCAAUUGGGGAAGGGCAGGAUCCCCUAACCAAAUGUAUUUGACUCUUGAUUGGCCGAAAAGCCCUGGGGGGGCGAACCGGGGAUUAAGAUUACCCCCGGUUUGUCCCCCCCCGUAAACCGAUUGGUCACCUAGCUUGUUCAGGAUUUCGGUUCUGAGUGGGUUAAGCGAAAAGUGAUUAAGUGACCCACCCUGGGGGAGUACGUUUUGCAAGAAUGAAACUCAAAGGGAAUUGACGGGGGGCCCGCACAAGCGGUGGAGCAUGUGGUUUAAUUCCGAUGAUACCGCGAGGGAACCUUACCAGGGGCUUAAAAUGUAGAUUGCAUUAGCUGGAGAUAGCUAUUUCUUCGGACUAUCUACAAGGUGCUGCAUGGUUGUCGUCAGCUCGUGCCGUGAGGUGUCAGGUUAAGUCCUAUAACGAGCGCAACCCCUGUUGUUAGUUGCCAGCGAGUCAAGUCGGGAACUCUAACAAGAUCUGCCAGUGCAAACUGUGAGGAAGGUGGGGAUGACGUCAAAUCAUCACGGCCCUUACGUCCUGGGCUACACACGUGCUACAAUGGUAGGGACAGAGAGCAGGCACUGGGCAACCAGGAGCAAAUCUAUAAAACCUAUCACAGUUCGGAUCGGAGUCUGCAACUCGUCUCCGUGAAGCUGGAAUCGCUAGUAAUCGCAUAUCAGCCAUGAUGCGGUGAAUACGUUCCCGGGCCUUGUACACACCGCCCGUCAAGCCAUGGAAGCUGGGAGUGCCUGAAGUCCGUCACCGUAAGGAGCGGCCUAGGGUAAAAUCGGUAACUAGGGCUAA
This 800-nucleotide ribosomal RNA is filed under the name uncultured Winogradskyella sp. RNAcentral's name for it is "bacterial SSU rRNA". It matches the Rfam family "Bacterial small subunit ribosomal RNA", at positions 687 to 1484 of the family's 1533-position model. The record is from RNAcentral. Lineage: Bacteria; Pseudomonadati; Bacteroidota; Flavobacteriia; Flavobacteriales; Flavobacteriaceae.